Molecule: ribosomal RNA, 377 nt
Filed under: uncultured bacterium
Lineage: Bacteria
Description: bacterial SSU rRNA
Rfam family: Bacterial small subunit ribosomal RNA
Source: RNAcentral
UAAUACGAAGGGUGCAAGCGUUACUCGGAAUUACUGGGCGUAAAGCGUGCGUAGGUGGUUGUUUAAGUCCGUUGUGAAAGCCCUGGGCUCAACCUGGGAAUUGCAGUGGAUACUGGGCAACUAGAGUGUGAUAGAGGGUGGCGGAAUUCCCGGUGUAGCAGUGAAAUGCGUAGAUAUCGGGAGGAACAUCCGUGGCGAAGGCGGCCACCUGGGUCAACACUGACACUGAGGCACGAAAGCGUGGGGAGCAAACAGGAUUAGAUACCCUGGUAGUCCACGCCCUAAACGAUGCGAACUGGAUGUUGGGUGCAACUUGGCACGCAGUAUCGAAGCUAACGCGUUAAGUUCGCCGCCUGGGGAGUACGGUCGCAAGACUG